RNAcentral lists this ribosomal RNA (457 nucleotides) under uncultured bacterium. RNAcentral describes it as "bacterial SSU rRNA". It matches the Rfam family "Bacterial small subunit ribosomal RNA", at positions 29 to 533 of the family's 1533-position model. The record is from RNAcentral.
AACGAACGCUGGCGGCGGGCCUAACACAUGCAAGUCGAGCGCCCCGCAAGGGGAGCGGCGGACGGGUGAGUAACGCGUGGGAACGUACCCUUUGCUACGGAAUAGCCUCGGGAAACUGGGAGUAAUACCGUAUGUGCCCUUCGGGGGAAAGAUUUAUCGGCAAAGGAUCGGCCCGCGUUGGAUUAGGUAGUUGGUGGGGUAAUGGCCUACCAAGCCGACGAUCCAUAGCUGGUUUGAGAGGAUGAUCAGCCACACUGGGACUGAGACACGGCCCAGACUCCUACGGGAGGCAGCAGUGGGGAAUCUUAGACAAUGGGCGCAAGCCUGAUCUAGCCAUGCCGCGUGAGCGAUGAAGGCCUUAGGGUUGUAAAGCUCUUUCAGUGGGGAAGAUAAUGACUGUACCCACAGAAGAAGCCCCGGCUAACUCCGUGCCAGCAGCCGCGGUAAAGUAGACGUC